UACGAAGGGGGCUAGCGUUGUUCGGAAUCACUGGGCGUAAAGCGCACGUAGGCGGAUGUGCCAGUCAGGGGUGAAAUCCCGGAGCUCAACUCCGGAACUGCCUCUGAUACAGCACGUCUUAGUUCGAGAGAGGUGGGUGGAAUUCCUAGUGUAGAGGUGAAAUUCGUAGAUAUUAGGAAGAACACCGGUGGCGAAGGCGGCCCACUGGCUCGAUACUGACGCUGAGGUGCGAAAGCGUGGGGAGCAAACAGG
Molecule: ribosomal RNA, 252 nt
Filed under: uncultured bacterium
Lineage: Bacteria
Description: partial 16S ribosomal RNA
Rfam family: Bacterial small subunit ribosomal RNA
Source: RNAcentral